This 125-nucleotide small RNA is filed under the name Marmota monax (woodchuck). The record is from RNAcentral. Lineage: Eukaryota; Metazoa; Chordata; Mammalia; Rodentia; Sciuridae.
GCUGGGUGCGGUGGUGCAUGCCUGUAAUCCCAGAGUUUAGGGAAGCUGAGACAGGAGGAUCAUGAGUUCAAAACUAGCCUCAACAAAAGUGAGACACUAAGCAACUCAGUGAGACCCUGUCUCUA